GGGCCGUUAGCUCAGUUGGUAGAGCAGCUGACUCUUAAUCAGCGGGUCGCUGGUUCGAUCCCAGCACGGCCCA
Molecule: transfer RNA, 73 nt
Filed under: Gammaproteobacteria bacterium RIFCSPHIGHO2_12_FULL_38_11
Lineage: Bacteria; Pseudomonadati; Pseudomonadota; Gammaproteobacteria
Also listed under: 3 other names
Description: tRNA-Lys
Rfam family: tRNA
About the family: Transfer RNA (tRNA) molecules are approximately 80 nucleotides in length. Their secondary structure includes four short double-helical elements and three loops (D, anti-codon, and T loops). Further hydrogen bonds mediate the characteristic L-shaped molecular structure. tRNAs have two regions of fundamental functional importance: the anti-codon, which is responsible for specific mRNA codon recognition, and the 3' end, to which the tRNAs corresponding amino acid is attached (by aminoacyl-tRNA synthetases). tRNAs cope with the degeneracy of the genetic code in two manners: having more than one tRNA (with a specific anti-codon) for a particular amino acid; and 'wobble' base-pairing, i.e. permitting non-standard base-pairing at the 3rd anti-codon position.
Source: RNAcentral